CAAUAGCGUAUAUUUAAGUUGUUGCAGUUAAAAAGCUCGUAGUUGGAUUUCGGUUGAGAACGGCCGGUCCGCCGUUUGGUGCGCACUGGCUGGUUUCAACUUCCUGUAGAGGACGUGCUCUGGCUUCACGGCUGGACGCGGAGUCUACGUGGUUACUUUGAAAAAAUUAGAGUGUUCAAAGCGGGCUUACGCUUGAAUAUUUCAGCAUGGAAUAACACUAUAGGACUCCUGUCCUAUUUCGUUGGUCUCGGGACGGGAGUAAUGAUUAAGAGGAACAGUUGGGGGCAUUCGUAUUUCAUUGUCAGAGGUGGAAUUCUUGGAUUUAUGAAAGACGAACUUCUGCGAAAGCAUUUGCCAAGGAUGUUUNCAUUA
Molecule: ribosomal RNA, 372 nt
Filed under: uncultured eukaryote
Lineage: Eukaryota
Description: partial 18S ribosomal RNA
Rfam family: Eukaryotic small subunit ribosomal RNA
Source: RNAcentral